This is a long non-coding RNA of Clupea harengus (Atlantic herring), 358 nucleotides long. NCBI's taxonomy places the organism in Eukaryota, Metazoa, Chordata, Actinopteri, Clupeiformes, Clupeidae. The record is from Ensembl.
CUAAAUCACAGUAACAGGAGUGUUAUAAGACACUUUUCAUCCACAGGUAUCUCUAAAUCACAGUAACGGGAGUGUUAUAAGAUACUUUUCAUCCACAGGUAUCUCUAAAUCACAGUAACGGGAGUGUUAUAAGAUACUUUUCAUCCACAGGUAUCUCUAAAUCACAGUAACGGGAGUGUUAUAAGAUACUUUUCAUCCACAGGUAUCUCUAAAUCACAGUAACAGGAGUGUUAUAAGACACUUUUCAUCCACAGGUAUCUCUAAAUCACAGUAACAGGAGUGUUAUAAGAUACUUUUCAUCCACAGGUAUCUCUAAAUCACAGUAACGGGAGUGUUAUAAGACACUUUUCAUCCACAG